UACAGAGGGGGCGAGCGUUGUUCGGAAUUACUGGGCGUAAAGGGCGCGUAGGCGGCCUGCUAAGUCGAACGUGAAAUCCCUGGGCUCAACCCAGGAACUGCGUCCGAUACUGGUUGGCUUGAAUCCGGGAGAGGGAUGUGGAAUUCCAGGUGUAGCGGUGAAAUGCGUAGAUAUCUGGAGGAACACCGGUGGCGAAGGCGGCAUCCUGGACCGGUAUUGACGCUGAGGCGCGAAAGCCAGGGGAGCAAACGGG
Molecule: ribosomal RNA, 253 nt
Filed under: uncultured bacterium
Lineage: Bacteria
Description: partial 16S ribosomal RNA
Rfam family: Bacterial small subunit ribosomal RNA
Source: RNAcentral